Molecule: non-coding RNA, 1091 nt
Organism: Schizosaccharomyces pombe (fission yeast)
Lineage: Eukaryota; Fungi; Ascomycota; Schizosaccharomycetes; Schizosaccharomycetales; Schizosaccharomycetaceae
Source: the annotation of a GenBank genome assembly
AUUUAAAAAAAAUUCAUUGAUUCUAUAAUAAACGGUCGAAAGACAACUUAUUCAAACUAGGCUUGAUUUUGAGCUUGAAGGCGUGCUUCUUUUCGAAGUGCACGUUUACGAAUGCUGAGGUGCAUUGCAGCAACUUGAGAAACGACAAACCCCUUUGCACUGCCCAACAAUUGUUCCAAAGACCAACUCAUUACGGCAUGGCUAGGAUAUGGUUGACUUAUGUAAGGAUUGGUUCCUCCACGCUGGAGACCAAUGCUACUUAAAGCAGCGCGAACAAACUUUUUGGGUGUAGGGAUUGUUAAUGUAGGUCGACGAACUUUUGACAUCGCUGAUACAACAAGAUAAGAAUUGAAACACCAAACGUCGAUACCCUGUUUCUUAACUUCCUCACCCAAAGAAGCAGACCAGUUAGACAAAAAGGCUUUAGAUCCGGCAUAAGUAGACAAAUAAGGAGAAGGAAGUAAGCCAGCGAAGGAGCCCAUAGUCAAAAUAAGGCAACGGGGACCCUUUUCAUUCUUCUGUCUCUCUCUGAGCAUGAUAGAAAGUACGGCCUUAGUGGUGUGAAGAGUACCAAAGCAGUUUAUAUGCAUAAUGUCAUCCAUUUCCUUCACUGUUGUUUCCGCAAAACUGGUAGGCAUAUAAUGAGAUUGGCCAACAUUGUUGAUAAGUACUGUAAUUGGAGUUCCUACUAAAUCUUGAUGAAGCUUCUCAAAAGUUUCGGCGGUCGUUUUGGUGUAAUCAAUUGCAAUAGUGCGAGUUUUGACCUUAGCAACAGUUUCGAGUUCUUUAGCUAAUGCAUCAAGCUUUUCUUGGGUUCUGCUUAUAAGAACCACAUUAAAUCCAGACAUGGCUAAUUGAGUAGCAUACUCUUUACCGAUUCCAUCAGUAGCACCUGUAACAACCGCCCAAUAACCUUUCUUGGCUCCGUAAACAGACAGCUAAAGAAGUUAGAGCACUGUCUAAGGAUUGAUAUAAUAGUUUUCUUACCUUGACACCUUUGGCAAAGAACGUCUUAUAAACGAAACUGGCAAAAGAUGUAAAUUUAAGGAUUGUAAACACAAUACCAAUUACUGAAAAUGCAGUUACUACUG